CUUUGCUUUUCACAAGCAGUAGGAGUUUUGCCCCAUAGCUAUCACAACUGGAAAUGUGCUGAGUCUCACUUGAAGACAAUAAGUGUGAGUCUUUCCUGAGCCCUCAACAUAGUACCUUAGUAUUGCUGCUGGUUAUUCAGGGCUGAAGGGCUCUUUAGUUAGGAGGUGGUUAAUGCUGCUAGAACUGGUCUCUUCAAGGAAGAAAAUUCCCUUCUGGCCAAGUGCUGUAUCUAGGAAUGGUUUCCAGUAGUUAGGGCCUGAAACAGGACCCCCAUGGCUCUUACUGGUGCCCUAUAUUGCUGUGGCUGAUCUGGUAUCCAGAAUGCAAGACAAAGUUAUUCCCACUCUUCUUUCAAAAGGUAGCAAGGGGUCUCUUUUAGAGCUGUGAUCUGCAUAGCCUGGGAUUAGGGGAGGGUUGAUCCCAGCACCCUCUUAGCCACUCUGGCUGGUGUCUCAGUAGAUCAUGUGCCUCCCCUAGUCCUCCGACUCUAGGCCCAGCUCAACACUAGAACUGACCUAUGUGUUGAAGUUCCUGUGGCAUAGACUGUCUUUCAAAUUUAUUUAGAGCCCCAGAGCACCUAUAGCCUAUGGUGAUGAGGCUUGUAGGAACUCAAGUUCCAAUUGCUGGGAUUGGCAAUUACCCUAUGGCUAAGCCAGUUUAAAUGCUCCUUCCAUGAGUAGAAGUCAGCCGAGUUUGUUCCGGUUUUUGUUUCAGCUAUAACAGGACUGCAGUCCUCAUACAUGCUGCCAUCUUCCUCCCCCAGCAGACAGAAUGGCUCCCCACACCAUGCAAGGACUGCAGGGGGAUGAGGGAGAAGUGGCAUUGGCAAUUCAAGACUGUUUUUCUCUACCUCUUCAGUCUCUCAUUCAGCAAUAUAAAGCUAAAACCAGGCCAUCAAACUCCAAAUAGCCAUGCAAAUGGAGCCUCAGAUGAUGACUCCUUUUCACUGGGGAUCCUUAGAUAGGCCUCUGAGAGAAGAUCUGACUUCUGUUUUCCCCAAAACAUGCCCCCUGUCACCAUGAAGCAGUUAAGAUAAGUCAUCACGGGAUCCUAACACAGGAGGGAUUGAUGGCAGCAGCAGCCCAUCUGGAGCAGCUGGAGCUGUGCACUCCAGAAAGCUGGCAGGAACAAGGAACAGGUGGGAGACCUGCCCCCUUCCAAGUUGGCAGUGUGGGAGCCCUGCCCUGCUGGGUUCAGCUGUAGCCACCCAGCCAUGGCUGUGUACGCAGGCAUCUCUGCACUCUUAGGGGACUGGGAAGCCCUGUGUCCCCAGAGGCUCAGAAGUGCCUGUUCCCACUGCCUGGCCUCUCCCAGCUCCUGGCACAUGCUCUGAUUUUGGAGCAAAUUUGAAGCCAAGCCUGGGCCCUGUCACUGUCCAGCUGGAUAUGCCUGAACCCAAGGCAGUGCUGACAUGCCAGCCCCCUGCCACCUCAGCCCCCUCUGGAACUUGGGUGCUGAUAAGCACAGGAAGGAGUCUGAGGUGAAGCUUAGGGUGGCUUGGCACAGGUCUGCAGGCAUCCCUUGGCAUGAAAAGCCCGGGUGUCAUGGAUGACAUGGUUGGUGGUGGCAGGAGACAGACAGGUUCCUGGGUAGAAAGGGGUGGGUAUCCAGUGAAAUCCCACCUUCA
This is a long non-coding RNA of Callithrix jacchus (white-tufted-ear marmoset), 1628 nucleotides long. The record is from Ensembl. Lineage: Eukaryota; Metazoa; Chordata; Mammalia; Primates; Cebidae.